AAGGAUCAUUACCGAGUAUCGGGCCUCAGCGCCCGCACUCCAACCCUCUGUGUACCAACCUUGUUGCUUUGGCGGGCCCGCGGUGUAACGCCGCCACCGGCUCUUGCUGGUCAGUGCCCGCCAGAGGACCGUUAAACUCUUGUUUUGAACAGUGUAGUCUGAGCGAAAUUUAAUAGUUAAAACUUUCAACAACGGAUCUCUUGGUUCUG
Molecule: unclassified non-coding RNA, 209 nt
Filed under: uncultured fungus
Lineage: Eukaryota; Fungi
Description: partial contains 18S rRNA, ITS1, 5.8S rRNA, ITS2 and 28S rRNA
Source: RNAcentral